UGAAGUUGCUGAUGCCAUACUUCCAGGAAAAGCCUCUAAGCUUCAGAUUAUACCGAAUCGUACCCCAAACCGACACAGGUGGUCAGGUAGAGAAUACUAAGGCGCUUGAGAGAACUCGGGUGAAGGAACUAGGCAAAAUCGUACCGUAACUUCGGGAGAAGGUACGCUCCUAUCUGUGAUGAGAUUUACUCUCUAAGCGGACGGGAGCCGCAGUGACCAGGUGGCUGGGACUGUUUAUUAAAAACACAGCACUGUGCAAAAUCGCAAGAUGACGUAUACGGUGUGACACCUGCCCGGUGCCGGAAGGUUAAUUGAUGGGGUUAGUUUUCGGACGAAGCUCUUGAUCGAAGCCCCGGUAAACGGCGGCCGUAACUAUAACGGUCCUAAGGUAGCGAAAUUCCUUGUCGGGUAAGUUCCGACCUGCACGAAUGGUGUAACCAUGGCCACGCUGUCUCCACCCGAGACUCAGUGAAAUUGAAAUCGCAGUGAAGAUGCUGUGUACCCGCGGCUAGACGGAAAGACCCCGUGAACCUUUACUACAGCUUGGCACUGAACAUUGAACCUACAUGUGUAGGAUAGGUGGGAGACUUAGAAGAUGAGACGCUAGUCUUGUUGGAGUCGUCCUUGAAAUACCACCCUUGUAGUUUUGAUGUUCUAACGUUGGCCCCUGAAUCGGGGUUACGGACAGUGCCUGGUGGGUAGUUUGACUGGGGCGGUCUCCUCCCAAAGAGUAACGGAGGAGCACGAAGGUUGGCUAAGUACGGUCGGACAUCGUACGGUUAGUGUAAUGGUAGAAGCCAGCUUAACUGCGAGACAGACACGUCGAGCAGGUACGAAAGUAGGUCAUAGUGAUCCGGUGGUUCUGAAUGGAAGGGCCAUCGCUCAACGGAUAAAAGGUACUCCGGGGAUAACAGGCUGAUACCGCCCAAGAGUUCAUAUCGACGGCGGUGUUUGGCACCUCGAUGUCGGCUCAUCACAUCCUGGGGCUGAAGUCGGUCCCAAGGGUAUGGCUGUUCGCCAUUUAAAGUGGUACGCGAGCUGGGUUUAGAACGUCGUGAGACAGUUCGGUCCCUAUCUGCCGUGGGCGUUUGAGAAUUGAGAGGGGUUGCUCCUAGUACGAGAGGACCGGAGUGAACGAACCGCUGGUGUUCGGGUUGUCAUGCCAAUGGCAUUGCCCGGUAGCUACGUUCGGAACUGAUAAGCGCUGAAAGCAUCUAAGCGCGAAGCAGGCCUCGAGAUGAGUUCUCACUAGACUUUUAAAGUCUCUGAAGGGCCGUUGAAGACUACAACGUUGAUAGGCAAGAUGUGGAAGCAUAGUGAUAUGUUAAGCUAACUUGUACUAAUUACCCGUGAGGCUUAACCAU
RNAcentral lists this ribosomal RNA (1364 nucleotides) under Pseudoalteromonas haloplanktis ATCC 14393. RNAcentral's name for it is "bacterial LSU rRNA". It matches the Rfam family "Bacterial large subunit ribosomal RNA", at positions 1586 to 2925 of the family's 2925-position model. The record is from RNAcentral. Lineage: Bacteria; Pseudomonadati; Pseudomonadota; Gammaproteobacteria; Alteromonadales; Pseudoalteromonadaceae.